Molecule: ribosomal RNA, 800 nt
Filed under: Colletotrichum sp.
Lineage: Eukaryota; Fungi; Ascomycota; Sordariomycetes; Glomerellales; Glomerellaceae
Description: partial large subunit ribosomal RNA
Rfam family: Eukaryotic large subunit ribosomal RNA
Source: RNAcentral
GCCUCAGUAACGGCGAGUGAAGCGGCAACAGCUCAAAUUUGAAAUCUGGUCCUUGCGGCCCGAGUUGUAAUUUGCAGAGGAUGCUUUUGGCGCGGUGCCUUCCAAGUUCCCUGGAACGGGACGCCUUAGAGGGUGAGAGCCCCGUACGGUUGGACACCAAGCCUUUGUAAAGCUCCUUCGACGAGUCGAGUAGUUUGGGAAUGCUGCUCUAAAUGGGAGGUAUAUUUCUUCUAAAGCUAAAUACCGGCCAGAGACCGAUAGCGCACAAGUAGAGUGAUCGAAAGAUGAAAAGCACUUUGAAAAGAGGGUUAAACAGCACGUGAAAUUGUUAAAAGGGAAGCGCUUGUGACCAGACUUGCGCCCGGUGAAUCACCCAGCUCUCGCGGCUGGGGCACUUUGCCGGCUCAGGCCAGCAUCAGCUUGCCGUCGGGGACAAAAGCUUCGGGAACGUAGCUCUCUUCGGGGAGUGUUAUAGCCCGUUGCACAAUACCCUUCGGCGGGCUGAGGUACGCGCUCCGCAAGGAUGCUGGCAUAAUGGUCAUCAGCGACCCGUCUUGAAACACGGACCAAGGAGUCAACCUUAUGUGCGAGUGUUCGGGUGUCAAACCCCUACGCGUAAUGAAAGUGAACGCAGGUGAGAGCUUCGGCGCAUCAUCGACCGAUCCUGAUGUUCUCGGAUGGAUUUGAGUAAGAGCAUAUAGGGUUGGACCCGAAAGAAGGUGAACUAUGCGUGUAUAGGGUGAAGCCAGAGGAAACUCUGGUGGAGGCUCGCAGCGGUUCUGACGUGCAAAUCGAUCGUC